Molecule: long non-coding RNA, 1184 nt
Organism: Microtus oregoni (creeping vole)
Lineage: Eukaryota; Metazoa; Chordata; Mammalia; Rodentia; Cricetidae
Exons: 3
Source: RefSeq, a predicted model, not a curated record
CUGAAAGGUGAAGAGAACAUCAGUAAGCCGGGCAAUGCCUGACAAAAGCUUAUGCCAUGAAAAGACGAUUGCUUACCUGCCUGACACUCAGGGGUUCUCCCUGCAUAAGACUGUCACAUUCCUGUGCCAAUGCUGCGUGUCACUCUGUGUGUCCCCAUCUAUCACCAAUUGUGGCCCACUAACAAUCACGGGGACAGGAGAUCUGGGGAAGCCUGAAGUGUGGCAGCAAAGCUGCUGACUGAACCUUGGUGGCUAAAUGCUUUAUUCAACUUGAUGAGGACAAGAACUGGGAUUCUGUUAAAGGCUGAAGCUUCCACUGGAGAAAUGAUAGGUCAGAAGUGUUUGCUUCACAAUACGGAGGCUGUGCUGUUAGGAUUGCUAUGGGGUCCGGUCCUACUUAGAUCCAGGAGUGUACUUGUAUGAAUUCCGACAAGUGGAAUCCAGCCUCUUCCGUCGGUGGGGCCCUGCGGCACUGUGCACAUCCACCAUUCGUGUUUCCCAGCAUUCUCUCAGCUCUUCAGUGCCAUGCUCACUCUGCAAAACUAUGCUCGAGAAGUGACAACCAGAGAGCAAAAGCCCUUCAGGAAUCUUUUCCAGACUUCAGUCUGCUGGACUAACCCAUAGUUAGCUCUGAGAGCUUGGACGCUCUCCUUCUGUCCAUGAGAGACUUACUGCCUGAGCAGCCCUUCCUUCCACCUGCAUGUGACCCCCCAUGGGCAAUCUCUUCCAGAGACGCAGCUCUGCUCAUUUGUAUUCAUGUGCACGCAUCAGGGACACUUUGUUCUCUCUGUGUACCUUGGUUUAAUGAGACGUCCCUGUGACCAUCCGUCACGUCCUCAAAGAAUGACUUGAAGAAAAAUACAUAAUUUUAAAAAUAGGUCCAGUACUUACUCCUUCCUACACUAGAAGCCGUAAUAACCUUCGUGUUUUCACUGACUUUACGAGCAGAGCUAUGUUUCAAAAAGGGUUUGAAAAGCCAAGCUGAUGAUUGCUCAAGGUUUUCAUAUUAAGCCAGGGCAGCCCAUUAUGUGGUAACCACACUGACUGAUUUUUCUAAUAUUGAACCAAACUUGUAAGUUAUUAUGACCAAGGGAAAUCUAAGUAAGUCCUUGAGCUUUAUUUACUUCUAGUUGGCUUUAAACGUAACCAUUUUUGAGGUUACAGAGCUGAAGAAUUAUUAUCCA